AAUCCUGAUGAUGCUGCAU
This 19-nucleotide non-coding RNA is filed under the name Arabidopsis thaliana (thale cress). The record is from RNAcentral. Lineage: Eukaryota; Viridiplantae; Streptophyta; Magnoliopsida; Brassicales; Brassicaceae.